Molecule: ribosomal RNA, 903 nt
Filed under: Rhizoctonia solani AG-4 HGII
Lineage: Eukaryota; Fungi; Basidiomycota; Agaricomycetes; Cantharellales; Ceratobasidiaceae
Description: eukaryotic LSU rRNA
Rfam family: 5.8S ribosomal RNA (bases 231-384)
Source: RNAcentral
AGGCAAAUGAUAUGAGAGUUUGGUUGUAGCUGGCUCCUAAUUAAACUUGGGGGCAUGUGCACACCUUUCUCUUUCAUCCCAUACACACCUGUGCACCUGUGAGACAGAUGUUUUGUGGGGGGGAAGGAACUUUAUUGGACCUUCUACUCCCCCUUGACUUCUGUCUACUUAAUUCAUAUAAACUCAAUUUAUUUUAAAACGGAUGUAAUGGAUGUAACACAUCUAAUACUAAGUUUCAACAACGGAUCUCUUGGCUCUCGCAUCGAUGAAGAACGCAGCGAAAUGCGAUAAGUAAUGUGAAUUGCAGAAUUCAGUGAAUCAUCGAAUCUUUGAACGCACCUUGCGCUCCUUGGUAUUCCUUGGAGCAUGCCUGUUUGAGUAUCAUGAAAUCUUCAAAGUCAAACCUUUUGUUAAUUCAAUUGGUUCUGCUUUGGUAUUGGAGGAUUAUUGCAGCUUCACACCUGCUCCUCUUUGUGCAUUAGCUGGAUCUCAGUGUUAUGCUUGGUUCCACUCAGCGUGAUAAGUUAUCUAUCGCUGAGGACACCCUGUUAAAAAGGGGUGGCCAAGGUAAAUGCAGAUGAACCGCUUCUAAUAGUCCAUUGACUUGGACAAUAUCUAAUUUAUGAUCUGAUCUCAAAUCAGGUAGGACUACCCGCUGAACUUAAGCAUAUCAUAAAGCGGGAGGGAAUAAAAAACGGGGGGGAGGGGGCCCUUUUCUUCUUUUUCAUACACAACUGUGGCACGUGGAAAAAAAUUUUAUUGGGGGUGGGGAAGGGCUUUAUUUGUAUUAUCUCCCCCUCGAACUGUGCGUUCAAGCAAUCAAAGAACUUCUGGUAACGAGGUAGGGAUGGUAAAUGCUAUUUAAAGUUACACGGUGCUUUGCUGCUUCGCCUAAGAAAAUCA